This 451-nucleotide ribosomal RNA is filed under the name uncultured bacterium. RNAcentral describes it as "partial 16S ribosomal RNA". It matches the Rfam family "Bacterial small subunit ribosomal RNA", at positions 29 to 523 of the family's 1533-position model. The record is from RNAcentral.
AACGAACGCUGGCGGCAGGCUUAACACAUGCAAGUCGAACGGAUGUAGCAAUACAUUAGUGGCGCACGGGUGAGUAACGCGUGGGAACGUACCCUUAGAUACGGGACAACAUCGGGAAACUGAUGCUAAUACCGUAUAAUGUCUUCGGACCAAAGAUUUAUCGUCUAAGGAUCGGCCCGCGUUAGAUUAGGUAGUUGGUGAGGUAAAGGCUCACCAAGCCGACGAUCUAUAGCUGGUCUGAGAGGAUGAUCAGCCACACUGGGACUGAGACACGGGCCGGACUCCUAAGGGAGGCAGGAGUGAGGAAUAUUGGACAAUGGAGGAAACUCUGAUCCAGCCAUGCCGCGUGAGUGAAGAAGGCCUUCGGGUUGUAAAGCUCUUUUGUCCCUGGCGAUAAUGACAGUAGGGGAAGAAAAAGCCACGGCUAACUUCGUGCCAGCCGCCGCCGUAA